RNAcentral lists this ribosomal RNA (513 nucleotides) under uncultured bacterium. Its description in RNAcentral is "bacterial SSU rRNA". It matches the Rfam family "Bacterial small subunit ribosomal RNA", at positions 15 to 518 of the family's 1533-position model. The record is from RNAcentral.
GAUCCUGGCUCAGGAUGAACGCUAGCUACAGGCUUAACACAUGCAAGUCGAGGGCAUCAUGAUCUUAGCUUGCUAAGAUUGAUGGCGACCGGCGCACGGGUGAGUAACGCGUAUCCAACCUUCCCUGUACUAGGGGAUAGCCCGGCGAAAGUCGGAUUAAUACCCUAUGUUUUCCGAAGCGAGCAUUUAAUUUGGAACAAAGGUUUACCGGUAUAGGAUGGGGAUGCGUCUGAUUAGAUAGUAGGCGGGGUAACGGCCCACCUAGUCGACGAUCAGUAGGGGUUCUGAGAGGAAGGUCCCCCACAUUGGAACUGAGACACGGUCCAAACUCCUACGGGAGGCAGCAGUGAGGAAUAUUGGUCAAUGGGCGAGAGCCUGAACCAGCCAAGUAGCGUGCAGGAUGACGGCCCUAUGGGUUGUAAACUGCUUUUAUAUAGGGAUAAAGUGAGGGACGUGUCCCUUAUUGUAGGUACUAUAUGAAUAAGGACCGGCUAAUUCCGUGCCAGCAGCAGC